UCCUUAAUAGCUCAGUUGGUAAAGAAUCUGACUUCAAUGCAGGAGACCUGGGUUCAAUCCCCUGGUUGGGAA
This 72-nucleotide transfer RNA is filed under the name Bos taurus (domestic cattle). It matches the Rfam family "tRNA". From Rfam's summary of the family: Transfer RNA (tRNA) molecules are approximately 80 nucleotides in length. Their secondary structure includes four short double-helical elements and three loops (D, anti-codon, and T loops). Lineage: Eukaryota; Metazoa; Chordata; Mammalia; Artiodactyla; Bovidae. The record is from Rfam by way of RNAcentral. RNAcentral also lists the same sequence under 1 other name.